Molecule: ribosomal RNA, 421 nt
Filed under: uncultured bacterium
Lineage: Bacteria
Description: partial 16S ribosomal RNA
Rfam family: Bacterial small subunit ribosomal RNA
Source: RNAcentral
AAUAUUGGACAAUGGGCGAAAGCCUGUUCCAGCCAUGCCGCGUGUGUGAAGAAGGUCUUCGGAUUGUAAAGCACUUUAAGAUGGGAGGAAGGGCAGUAAGUUAAGACCUUGUUGUUUUGACGUUACCGACAGAAUAAGCACCGGCUAACUUCGUGCCAGCAGCCGCGGUAAUACGAAGGGUGCAAGCGUUAAUGGGAAUUACGGGGCGUAAAGCGCGCGUAGGUGGUUUGUUAAGUUGGAAGUGAUAGCCCCGGGCUCAACCUGGGAACUGCUUUCAUAACUGCUGAGCUAGAGUAGGGUAGAGGGUAGUGGAAUUUCCUGUGUAGCGGUGAAAUGCGUAGAUAUAGGAAGGAACACCAGUGGCGAAGGCGACUACCUGGACUGAUACUGACACUGAGGUGCGAAAGCGUGGGGAGCAAAC